GGAUGACGUCAAGUCCUCAUGGCCCUUACGGGCUGGGCUACACACGUGCUACAAUGGUGGUGACAGUGGGCAGCGAACACGCGAGUGUGAGCUAAUCUCCAAAGGCCAUCUCAGUUCGGAUUGCACUCUGCAACUGGAGUGCAUGAAGUUGGAAUCGCUAGUAAUCGCGGAUCAGCAUGCCGCGGUGAAUACGUUCCCGGGCCUUGUACACACCGCCCGUCACACCAUGGGAGUUGGUUUUACCCGAAGGCGCUGUGCUAACCGCAAGGAG
Molecule: ribosomal RNA, 271 nt
Filed under: Brucella intermedia
Lineage: Bacteria; Pseudomonadati; Pseudomonadota; Alphaproteobacteria; Hyphomicrobiales; Brucellaceae
Description: partial 16S ribosomal RNA
Rfam family: Bacterial small subunit ribosomal RNA
Source: RNAcentral